CUUCCUUCCCCUGAUUCUCAUGAGAAUCUGAUCUUCGCUAAAGUGGGCAAGGUCCUGGAUCAGAAGAUGCCUGACAAGAGGCCACUAUCAGCAGCAACAGCACAGUGGGGACAAACCUGAGACCUUGAUGGACCGUGGACACCAGCAGGAGAGACAGAGGAACUUGAAGUCUAAAUGGGCAGACAAGACCAACAUACACAAAGCAGAGAGUGGCACAAGAGCCAUGUCUGAUGCAACAGUGACUCAGGAGGAUCACUCUGACUCAGAAUGGCCAAGCAAAGGUAUUGGGAGGAAGUGGGAUAGAACUGAGCUUUGAAGACCGUGCUAAAAUAUUUACAGACUCCCCAGGUUAUCUCAAGUUCUCUCCAGGAAUUAGCUUCACCUCUU
RNAcentral lists this long non-coding RNA (387 nucleotides) under Homo sapiens (human). RNAcentral describes it as "non-protein coding LINC01808:13". Lineage: Eukaryota; Metazoa; Chordata; Mammalia; Primates; Hominidae. The record is from RNAcentral.